This is a long non-coding RNA of Brassica napus (rape), 1121 nucleotides long. RefSeq lists it as uncharacterized. NCBI's taxonomy places the organism in Eukaryota, Viridiplantae, Streptophyta, Magnoliopsida, Brassicales, Brassicaceae. The transcript is spliced from 3 exons. The record is from RefSeq and is a predicted model, not a curated record.
CACAUGACAAUCACAAUCUACCUGCUUGCCUUGUUUCUUAGGUUGUCAUGUGACAAACACAUGAAAGGGCUAGAGUUUCUUUAGGGUAAGGACAUGACAGCAACUUAUGCUGAGAGUGCUGAAGCAGCUGGUGAGCUGUCCACACUCAGCCUAACUUUGUCCUAAGUGAAAUCAUCACCUAAAGCAAGCUCACUUCAUAUUUAACCCUUUCCAGCUGUUUUCCACGUCCUGAAAUCUAAAGAAAAAUCAAGAGAGUUUCAGAAAUUUUAAGAGAGAAAGAAGAAGAGAAAACUGAAAAAAAUUCAGAAACUAAAAUCAAGAGAAAAAGUAUGGUUGAAUCUUUGGUAAAGUUCAUCCAUCAGUUGUUUCAGUCUGUUAUUGAGAGUAAGAUCAGACGGUGAGACUUUUAAAUAAAACCCUAGACCUAGUUCAGUUCAGAUCAUGAUCAAACCCACAUCUCUCUUUCUGUUCAGUUCAGCCGCAAGCUAACCUUGGAGAAGAGGAUCAGCUGAGACCAUCUAGUCCUUUGGUUCGUCUUGCUAAGGUGUGGAGCUUUACUAGUCCAACUCUGUCCAUUCAGUCUCUUGGUCCAUUCAGCUUUGUUCAAGAGGAACUCAAGUCUUGUUCAAGCCAGUUUCAAGACUGUUUUUUAGGUGAGUCUAGACAGAUGAUGAGAUAGAUCAUGAAUGAGUACAUGAUUGAGUUUAAUUGUAAUAUCUUAAUUAGAUAGUAAAGUCUUUGAAUCCUUUAAGAAGUGUAUGGUGUUUACUUAGUGAAAACACUUACACUUAAAGAAUAAUGAAAAUGUUAUAGUGAGGUUAAUACUAAUCUUAAUACUUGUUCUCAAGUAAUAAUCUUAAUUAUGAAAUAAUCUUGAUUUAAUUAAGAAUUAACUUUAGAUUAAUUAAGAAUUAAUUUGGGACUAAUUGAAAAUUAAUUAUGAUUAAUUUUGGAUUAAUUUUGAAACAAUCGUAGAAGUGAAAAUCAUGUGAAGUCUUAUUAUAUUCACUAUCUUUAAAGUCUCCGCAUUAUCGUGACUUGGUCCUGUAAAGGGAACAAGGUCAUAAAAACACGAUGAUGGGGUAGCUUCCUAGAGACCGUAUACUGCAUGACGAUGCAGU